GGCCUCCCUCUGUGGGGCGAUUGAUUGUGGGGUUCUGCGAUUGAUCGCCCAGCAGAGGGAGACC
This 64-nucleotide microRNA precursor is filed under the name Myotis davidii. RNAcentral describes it as "mir-9242 microRNA precursor family". It matches the Rfam family "mir-9242 microRNA precursor family". The record is from Rfam by way of RNAcentral. Lineage: Eukaryota; Metazoa; Chordata; Mammalia; Chiroptera; Vespertilionidae.